Delphinapterus leucas (beluga whale) is the source of this 1468-nucleotide non-coding RNA. The record is from RefSeq and is a predicted model, not a curated record. Lineage: Eukaryota; Metazoa; Chordata; Mammalia; Artiodactyla; Monodontidae.
UGCCUGGAGGCAGCUUUGCCUGCACUUGGGGGUCUAGGACACCCAGAACUCAGCAGACCCAAAUCAUGUCUGGCCCACACACACUGGGUUGGGGUGAGCAAGGAGGCAGACCAGGGAUAGAUUAUUACUGCUCUCAUGCCCACCUUUCAUAGAACCCCUGGGAGACUAGCUCUUCCAAAACCAAAGUCCACCGUGAUGAUUCCCGAAUCCCAGAAGCUUCUGAGAUGUGGACUGGAGUCACUCAGGUGUCAGCUACAGGCCCAGACCAAGGCUUUCGAGUUCCUAAACCACUCAGUGACCAUGUUGAAGGACAGCUGCCUGCAGCAAAUCAAGAUCCAACAGCUUGAAGAGAUGCUGGGCCCCACGAGCCGCCAGGCAGACAAGGAGAGACACAAGUGGGACGUGGAGAAGGGACGGCAGGAGCUAUAUGAGGCCCUGGCUAAAGGCCUGCAGGGGCUGCAGAAGACCCUGUAUGACAACGAGGAGGUGCAGCGGGCCCGUACCACCCGCUGCCUACAGCUGUUGGCUCAGGAGAUCCGGGACAGCAAGAAGUUCUUGUGGGAGGAGCUGGAGCUGGUGCGGGACGAGGUGACCUUCAUUUAUCAAAAGCUACAGGCGCAGGAAGAGGAGAUUACGGAGAACCUGGUGAACAUCCAGAAGAUGCAAAAGACACAGGUGAAGUGCUGCAAGGUCCUGACCAAAAUGAAGCAGCAUGGGUAUGAGACAUCCAACUGGCCAGAGACUGAGGAGUUGCCACCAGGAGGCAGUGGCUCCUGGAGGGAUGACCUCCAGAAGGAGCUGGGUGACAUAUGGUCCGCUGUGCACCUGCUGCAGAACUCCUUUGGUGGCCUCGCCAUAUACUCAGGGGGCUGCCCCAGGGCUGCGAGCCUCAGGGGAUUGCACCUGUCCCUCCUGCUGGCUAUAGGGGGCACCGAUGCCUGAGCCCGCCACGCCCCUCCUGGAACUCGGACUCGGACUCAGACCAGGACCCUUCCCAGCCACCACUCAGCAAGAGCUGCUCCUUCCCGCCUGCCUGAGCAGCUGGGACUGCUCUCCCUGAAGACCCCUCCAUAGAGAAAAUAAACUAGCUGCGACCCUCCUCCACCUGUGGACUGCUGCUCCUGGCUGCUUCCUGUGCCUCAGAGUGACCCCCACAGUUUACUACCCAGUCUUGGGGAGGGACUGUUCGGGAUAUGUGGGCCUAGGGUCAGGGGACAGUGUGAGGCUGGAUUUAGUAUAUGACAAGGUCAGGGGUAAGUCUGUCUAGAUAUGAGUGGCCAGAUAGGCCCUUGGCGAUCUGGCCUGCUGUCCCUACUGCCCAAAUGGGGAAAUUGAGGCCCCUGACCCUCAUCUGCCCUGCGUUCCUCCUAAUAAGAUCAAGCAGCGACCCCCGGAACCUGGAACCCACCUGAGUCCCUCUCCUCCCAGGACUCAUCUCUGCCCCUGCCCCCUCCAUGGCCUCCCUGCC